GAUGAACGCUGGCGGCGUGCCUAAUACAUGCAAGUCGAGCGAACAGACGAGGAGCUUGCCCCUCUGACGUUAGCGGCGGACGGGUGAGUAACACGUGGAUAACCUACCUAUAAGACUGGGAUAACUUCGGGAAACCGGAGCUAAUACCGGAUAAUAUAUUGAACCGCAUGGUUCAAUAGUGAAAGACGGUUUUGCUGUCACUUAUAGAUGGAUCCGCGCCGCAUUAGCUAGUUGGUAAGGUAACGGCUUACCAAGGCAACGAUGCGUAGCCGACCUGAGAGGGUGAUCGGCCACACUGGAACUGAGACACGGUCCAGACUCCUACGGGAGGCAGCAGUAGGGAAUCUUCCGCAAUGGGCGAAAGCCUGGCGGAGCAACGCCGCGUGAGUGAUGAAGGUCUUCGGAUCGUAAAACUCUGUUAUUAGGGAAGAACAAAUGUGUAAGUAACUAUGCACGUCUUGACGGUACCUAAUCAGAAAGCCACGGCUAACUACGUG
This 497-nucleotide ribosomal RNA is filed under the name uncultured bacterium. RNAcentral describes it as "partial 16S ribosomal RNA". It matches the Rfam family "Bacterial small subunit ribosomal RNA", at positions 28 to 507 of the family's 1533-position model. The record is from RNAcentral.